ACCUGGUUGGCUUAGUUGGAAGAGUGUGUGACUCUUGAUCUCAGGGUCAUGAGUUAAAGCCUCGUAUUGGGUA
RNAcentral lists this transfer RNA (73 nucleotides) under Ailuropoda melanoleuca (giant panda). It matches the Rfam family "tRNA". Rfam says of the family: Transfer RNA (tRNA) molecules are approximately 80 nucleotides in length. Their secondary structure includes four short double-helical elements and three loops (D, anti-codon, and T loops). The record is from Rfam by way of RNAcentral. Lineage: Eukaryota; Metazoa; Chordata; Mammalia; Carnivora; Ursidae.